Molecule: long non-coding RNA, 835 nt
Organism: Hyaena hyaena (striped hyena)
Lineage: Eukaryota; Metazoa; Chordata; Mammalia; Carnivora; Hyaenidae
Exons: 4
Source: RefSeq, a predicted model, not a curated record
UUUCGGGCAAGUGCAAGAAUGUUAAAUUUGUAGUUGUUUCUCAUUUGAAUCAUUAGAAAAAGAAGGAACUGGUGCCGGGAGUUCUAAAGAGGAAAUAAAGUGGAUUGCAGAAAAGGAGUAGUGGUUUCUGCAAGGAAAGCCUAAGAGAGAAAAAAAGAAGAGAAAGUGAACCUAGGACUUAAACCUCGUAAUGAUUGUGGCAUGUGAAGCAGGGGUCAACAGAAGAGAGUGACGUUCUUCAGGUCACAGAUUGGGAAAGACUUUGGAAUUUGGAUGAGGGGCCAGUAAAGGAAAAGAUUUCUCUUGGCAUUUGUGUUAUCGGCACAAAACAACAUGCAUCUACACGCUCUUCAUUGAAAUUGAGGAUAAGAAGCUCGGACAAAUUCCUGUUGUAGUUUAAAGAGUAACUGAGAUUGUAAUCGUCUGAAAUGCUUGGGAGGCAAUUUACUACUAUGCAGUGCUAGCGUGACUGGAAUAGAAAUGUUGUGACUUUUGGAUCUUGAAUCAGAAUGUUGAAUAGUGAUAACAGAAACUAUGUAAAUAAAUGCGAAAACGAAUCAUUGUUGUGAUCUUUUCAUGUCAUGACACAGACGAAAAAACUGCAAUGUCUGUGCAGAACGCCUCGGGGAAAGUGCUACGUGGCAUAUGCAUGACAAGGCGCCCUCUCGUGGCGGGUGGUGGGCAUAAACUCCUACGUGCUCGAGUAAUUUCUGAAUACAGGAUGUUUGCACAGGAAGCCAUACAAGGGUCAUGGAGAUACAGAAAACACUCAUUUCCCCAAUUUGGCUGAUAGAAAAAGACAAAUGCAUGGAAUAAAAAGCUUUUUGUUUUGUCA